This 460-nucleotide ribosomal RNA is filed under the name uncultured bacterium. Its description in RNAcentral is "partial 16S ribosomal RNA". It matches the Rfam family "Bacterial small subunit ribosomal RNA", at positions 338 to 795 of the family's 1533-position model. The record is from RNAcentral.
CCUACGGGAGGCUGCAGUGAGGAAUAUUGGUCAAUGGGCGCAAGCCUGAACCAGCCACGUAGCGUGAAGGAUGACUACCCUACGGGUUGUAAACUUCUUUUAUAAAGGAGUAAAGUGAGGCACGUGUGCCAUUUUGUAUGUACUUUAUGAAUAAGGAUCGUCUAACUCCGUGCCAGCAGCCGCGGUAAUACGGAGGAUCCGAGCGUUAUCCGGAUUUAUUGGGUUUAAAGGGAGCGUAGGUGGAUUGGUAAGUCAGUUGUGAAAGUUUACGGCUUAACCGUAAAAUUGCAGUUGAAACUGGCAGUCUUGAGUACAGUAGAGGUGGGCGGAAUUCGUGGUGUAGCGGUGAAAUGCGUAGAUAUCACGAAGAACUCCGAUGGCGAAGGCAGUUCACUGGACUGCAACUGACACUGAGGCUCGAAAGUGUGGGGAGCAAACAGGAUUAGAUACCCUUGUAGUC